CUUUUAAUGUGAUAUAUAAAGACAAGUAGUCAAUUGAGUUAUCAAAGGGGAAAACACGACUCAUCAAUACAAUCAAGAGACAUUAAUAAUGAUUUUAAGUUAAACAAGAGUUUCUUGCCAACCUAUAAGUGCUAAAAACAAUAAGUGAUCAAACAAUGUUCUACUUGUUACAUGCAAAGUAAAACAAAUAUGGGUGCAGUUCUCAAGUUUGUUUAUGUUAUGAUCCUAUUUGUUUUCCUACUUCUUGGUGUAACUGAUAGCAAACAUCAUGGAUGUAUUGUUGACAAUGAUUGUCAAAAAUGUGUACGACCUUAUUAUCGGAGGUGCAAAUCGAAUGAAUGUUCAUGUCAUUAAAAUACACCUCUUUUACAAGAUAUGAAGAACAAAAAUGCCACUGCAGAAUAAAUUAUAGUGAGUUGAAAUCAAUAAAGAUAAUAUGAUUAUACGAAGUUAUAAAUAAAUAGACAAUAUAAUUAUGUAAAAUAAUCAUAUAUUUAUUCUAGUUUUACAUUUAACAGGCUCAUUUAAAAAAAGUAUUUAACAUUAUAGAUAAUAUGUGUGAUAUAAAGUGAACAAAAAUAUCAUUAUAUAUUAAGGUUACUAUGCUUAUAGUUAUAAUCUUCCAAAAUA
Cicer arietinum (chickpea) is the source of this 630-nucleotide long non-coding RNA. RefSeq lists it as uncharacterized. The record is from RefSeq and is a predicted model, not a curated record. Lineage: Eukaryota; Viridiplantae; Streptophyta; Magnoliopsida; Fabales; Fabaceae.